Long non-coding RNA from Gavialis gangeticus (Gharial), 370 nucleotides. RefSeq lists it as uncharacterized. The record is from RefSeq and is a predicted model, not a curated record. Lineage: Eukaryota; Metazoa; Chordata; Crocodylia; Gavialidae. The transcript is spliced from 4 exons.
UUUUUCAUCUAGUGAUCUCUUCCCCCCCACCCCCACCCCGAUAGACAGAUAGGAGACUUCCUGCAUAGGUAAAGAACAGAAGAUAUUUCACAAUUGUGACUCCCCCUGAAUUGAAAAAUCCAAGCUUUGAACGGCUGUAAAUGGAAGCUGAUCUUGGUAACUUUGUUUGUCUGGAAAGAAGAGGACCUAUGUGAUGGUGAAUUAAAUCAAGACUGUAUACCAUGCACUGGAAUUAAAGGUUGUAUAAAAUUUUAAAGAAGCAGCAUUCUAUUCACUAGUUAUUGGACUUGAGCCUCCUUUGACCUCGGAAACUGAAAAUGAGGUUGCUAUGGGAACUGCUUGUGCUGCAAUCAUUCAUGUUGUGCCUUGC